ACAAAAACAUAGUUUAAAGAAAAAAAUUUUAGAUAAAUUCUGCUCAAUGAGUAAGUUAAAUAGCUGCAGUAAAUUAACUGUACUAAGGUAGCAUAAUAAGUUGCUUUAUAAUUAAAAGCUUGAAUGAAAGAAAUAAUGUGAAAGAAGCUUUUUAAACUAAAAUAGUGAAAAUUAAUAUUUAAGUGAAAAAUCUUAAAUAGAAUCAAAAGACAAGAAGACCCUUUAGAACUUUACAAAUUGAUUUAAUAUCAUUUAGUUAAUUUGUUAAAUUGGGGAGAUUUUUAAAUAAAUAAAUCUUUAGAUAUAAAAAAAUGAUUUAAAUCAGAUUAAAUUAUCCAAAUGUGAAAUAAAACAAGUUACCUAAGGGAUAACAGCGCAAAAUUUUUGAGAAGUUCUCAUUUACAAAAUAAAUUGCGACCUCGAUGUUGGAUUAGCGAACUAACUUAUAAAGCAAAAUUUGAGUAGAGUCCGGAGUGCGCCGACCUUUU
RNAcentral lists this ribosomal RNA (488 nucleotides) under Bemisia tabaci. Its description in RNAcentral is "partial 16S ribosomal RNA". The record is from RNAcentral. Lineage: Eukaryota; Metazoa; Arthropoda; Insecta; Hemiptera; Aleyrodidae.